UACGGAGGGGGCUAGCGUUGUUCGGAAUUACUGGGCGUAAAGCGCACGUAGGCGGCUUUGUAAGUUAGAGGUGAAAAGCCCCGGGGGCUCAACUCCGGAAUUGCCUUUAAGACUGCAUCGCUAGAAUUGUGGAGAGGUAAGUGGAAUUCCGAGUGUAGAGGUGAAAUUCGUAGAUAUUCGGAAGAACACCAGUGGGCGAAGGCGACUUACUGGACACAUAUUGACGCUGAGGUGCGAAAGCGUGGGGAGCGAACAGG
Molecule: ribosomal RNA, 257 nt
Filed under: uncultured bacterium
Lineage: Bacteria
Description: partial 16S ribosomal RNA
Rfam family: Bacterial small subunit ribosomal RNA
Source: RNAcentral